GACGUAGGGGGCGAGCGUUUGUCCGGAUUUAUUGGGCGUAAAGCGUGCGUAGGCGGCUGCGCAAGUCGGGUGUGAAACCCCGGGGCUCAACCCCGGAACUGCAUCCGAUACUGCGUGGCUAGAGGUAGGUAGGGGAGAUCGGAAUUCCUGGUGUAGCGGUGAAAUGCGCAGAUAUCAGGAGGAACACCGGUGGCGAAGGCGGAUCUCUGGGCCAUUACUGACGCUGAGGAGCGAAAGCGUGGGGAGCGAACAGG
This 254-nucleotide ribosomal RNA is filed under the name uncultured bacterium. Its description in RNAcentral is "partial 16S ribosomal RNA". It matches the Rfam family "Bacterial small subunit ribosomal RNA", at positions 524 to 776 of the family's 1533-position model. The record is from RNAcentral.